UUGUUACUGCAAUGCAGUUUAGUAGGGAAGGCCCAGGGGGUUUCUUCAGCUUUGCCAAUAGAGCAGUCUUUAGACUAUGACAUUGUUAAAUCUGCAGUACUUCGAACCUAUGAGCUUGUGCCUGAGGCCUAUCGCCAGAAAUUUAGAAAUUUGUCAAAAACAGUCAAUCAGACAUUUGUAGAAUUUGCUAGAGAAAAGAAAAAUCACUUUGAAAAAUGGUGUCUGUCUAGCAAAGUUAAUAGUUUUGAACAGCUGCAAGAAUUGCUUUUGUUGGAAGAUUUCAAGCGUUGCAUCCCAGAGAAAAUUGUUGUUCACUUGAAUGAGAAAAGGGUUGUGUCUCUGCAGGAUGCAGCAGUUAUUUGUGAUGAAUUUGUGUUGACCCAUAAACAGGUGUUUUCUUCACCACGUCCAACUAGAAAUCUGUCUUUUAGGGAUGAAAGUAGGGAGAGAGGCAUGCCUAAAACUCCUCAUUCAUACAGAAAUGACAUGCCAGUCGCUAGUGGUCGUAGCCCAGUUGCUAAAUUAAAUGGAGAUGGGCGUGUUUGCUUUUAUUGUCUUGACCCCAGCCAUUUAAUUUCUGAGUGCAAGGCCUGGAAGCAGAAAAACUCUGCCAAGACUAAAAGUGUAGCAUUUGUUCAGAGUGCAUCCAGUUUUGAUUCUCCACUCAAGUCCAAACAAUAUGAACCUUUCAUUUUUAACGGCUCUGUGUCUCUUUCUGCUGGUUCUGACUAUAAGCCUAUUCAGAUGCUGAGGGACACAGGAAGUGCACAGUCUUUGAUUCUGAAGAGUGCUCUGUCAUUCUCAUCGGAGUCAUAUACUGGUGAAAGUGUUUUAAUACAGGAGAUUGAAUUGGGUUGUGUCAAAGUUCCGUUGCACCAAGUCCAUUUAAAGUCUGAUCUGGUUGAAGGGCCUGUGAAGAUAGCUGUCUGUUCUCAAUUACCAGUGAAGGGGAUAAGUCUUAUCCUAGGAAAUGAUCUAGCAGGUGGAAAGGUUUUUCCCUGUCCUGUGGUGACGGAUGUUCCUACUGCUUGUGGUUCAAAUGACAUUGCAGAAAAGUUUCCAUCCGUCUUUCCUGUUUGUGCUGUGACUCGUGCUCAGGCUCGUAAAUAUGAUGAUGUUGUUGAACUUUCAGACUCUUUCUUGAUUACUCAGAGUGAGCCGGUGGAAGUCAAGCUGUCUAUUGACCCUGAACUUUUUAAAUCAGAUCUUGAUGUCCUGACUGAAGUGGAGAAAAUUCCUUUAACACUUGGUAGAGAACAAUUAGCUAUAGCACAAAAGUCUGAUCCCACUUUAUCGAAGUGCAUAAGUGCCACCUGCGCUGGUGAAAGAAGUCCUAAAACUAGAGUAGGAUAUUUUUGGGACCGGGAAAUGCUAAUGCGUUGGUGGAGGCGACAAUUCUCUGAUGAGGAUGAGUGGAGUACAAGCUACCAAAUUGUUCUUCCACAAGGUUAUCGUAGACAAGUUCUGAAGUUGGCUCAUGAGAAUGUUUUGUCUGGUCAUCUGGGUAUCACAAAGACUUUCCAGCGGAUUUCAAGGUACUUCUUUUGGCCCGGUUUGAAGUCUGCAGUGUCAGGCUUUGUUCGUUCCUGUUGUGUUUGUCAGCUCUCAGGUAAACCAAAUCAGGUUAUUUCUCCUGCUCCUUUGCAACCAAUUCCUGUUGUGGGAGAGCCUUUUGAGAAACUCCUGAUUGAUUGUGUAGGUCCAUUGCCCAAGUCAAAAUCAGGUCAUCAGUACAUC
RNAcentral lists this long non-coding RNA (1737 nucleotides) under Carassius auratus (goldfish). Its description in RNAcentral is "lncRNA (ENSCARG00000003514.1)". The record is from RNAcentral. Lineage: Eukaryota; Metazoa; Chordata; Actinopteri; Cypriniformes; Cyprinidae.